AAAACAUGUCUUUUUGAAAAUAAUAAAAAGUCUAAUCUGCCCACUGAAUUUAUUUAAAGGGCUGCAGUAUAUUGACUGUACAAAGGUAGCAUAAUCAAUAGUCUUUUAAUUGAAGACUUGUAUGAAUGAUUUGAUGAAAUAUGAACUGUCUCUUUUUUAAAAAUAAAAUUUAAUUUUUUAGUUAAAAAGCUAAAAUAAUUAUAAAAGACGAGAAGACCCUAUAGAGUUUUAUAGUUAUUUAAUUUAAAAAUUUUAUAUAUAAUUUAAAUUUAAAAUUAAUUAAUUAUUUUAUUGGGGUGAUAGAAAAAUUAAAAAAACUUUUUUUUAAAAUUUAACAUUAAUUUAUGAAAUUAUGAUCCAUAAUUUAUGAUUAAAAGAAUCAAUUACCUUAGGGAUAACAGCGUAAUUUUUUUUUUUAGUACAAAUAAGAAAAAGAGUUUGCGACCUCGAUGUUGGAUUAAGAUAAAAUUUAAAUGCAAAAGUUUAAAAUUUUUGAUCUGUUCGAUCAUUAAAAUCUUACAUGAUCUG
This is a ribosomal RNA of 528 nucleotides. The stretch from base 394 to 528 matches the Rfam family "Bacterial large subunit ribosomal RNA", at positions 2473 to 2607 of the family's 2925-position model.